Molecule: ribosomal RNA, 253 nt
Filed under: uncultured bacterium
Lineage: Bacteria
Description: partial 16S ribosomal RNA
Rfam family: Bacterial small subunit ribosomal RNA
Source: RNAcentral
UACGUAGGGUGCGAGCGUUGUCCGGAAUUAUUGGGCGUAAAGGGCUCGUAGGCGGUUUGUCGCGUCGGGAGUGAAAUCCACUGGCUUAACUGGUGGCUUGCUUUCGAUACGGGCAGACUGGAGGUAUGCAGGGGAGAACGGAAUUCCUGGUGUAGCGGUGAAAUGCGCAGAUAUCAGGAGGAACACCGGUGGCGAAGGCGGUUCUCUGGGCAAUAACUGACGCUGAGGAGCGAAAGCGUGGGGAGCGAACAGG